Long non-coding RNA from Mustela lutreola (European mink), 4817 nucleotides. RefSeq lists it as uncharacterized. The transcript is spliced from 3 exons. The record is from RefSeq and is a predicted model, not a curated record. NCBI's taxonomy places the organism in Eukaryota, Metazoa, Chordata, Mammalia, Carnivora, Mustelidae.
ACCAAAGGGCUUGGCGGGGGCGGGGCCAGCCCAACCAUGGGCGUGGCGGUUGGGGAGUGGGCGGAGUCGACCUGCAGCGGUAGGUGGGAGUUGUCUUGGCGGUUGGAAAGGGUUGCAAAGUGUGGUCUGGUACCUGGCGACGGUGGCAUUCAUAUCAGUUCCGUAGAAAGCACGGAAUGGUGGCUGCCCCUUGCCCGUAAAGAGAGCGGUUCCCUGUACCCUUUUUAUUCCCUGGCGUCAGAGGGCAUGGCCAGACCAAGAGAUGGAAACUACAGGGAGGCCAGCUGAGACUUGAUUGAAGAAGGGGAAUCUUCUGAUAAAGGAAGACUGCCUAGGGCAUCAAACACACUUUUCAACUGAGAAGGCAUCAGCACACCAGAGAAAUGCAUGCAGUCUGAACAGGCACAAAGUUCUUGUUGAUGGUCAAGUCCUCUGAUGUGAAGGCCUGGGUUUAAUGCUGGCCUUAACAUCAGUCUCCUGUAUUUCAUCACCAUACCGUCCCCUUGGUCACAGCAGAACCUUCAUGUCUACUGAGGAGCUUUCUGAGGUGUGCCAAAGUGUGAGGAGCUGCCUCUUUCACAAAUUGGAUUCCAUCCCUCGCAGACCAUGGUGACAGAAAUCCUUCGAGUAACACUGAGAUCAGGUCCAGGGGUCGACCUGGGACUUCAGUUCUGUGGUGUGUGGUUUUUUCUGACUUCAGAUAAUUGUCCUUGGUAGACCCCAAUGACAGUUGGUUCAGAACUGGUGAUAAGUUCAAUGGAGCUGACACAGGCUGACAAAAAUUCCUAUAGUAGAGAGUUUGUGGAAUUUCCCCAGAUGGGGCUUGGAGAGUUUGUCACAUUAGUGGGUUUUUAAGAAUGCCUUUGCUCUUCAUGCAUGCAACUGUGUCUUCUUCUUCUUCUUCUUUUUAAAAUAGAUUUUAUUUGAGAGACUGAGUGUGAGAGAGCACAGAAGUGGGGCAGAGGGAGACGGAGAGGGAGAAGCAGACUCUGCUGAGCAGGGAGCCUGAUGUGGAGAUCAAUCCCAGGACCCUGGGGUCAUGACCUGAGCCGAAGGUAGACGGCUUAAGCGACUGAGCCACCCAGGUGUCCCCCCUCAUUUCCUCUUAUGACAAAACUUCUACAUGUGGUUCAUGUUGCUCCAUUGUGGGGUGCUGAGGGGAGAGCGGGAUGGCUUUAAGUGUAGGCUUCUAGCAUGUCAUUUGGCACUUCUGUGUCCUGAUAUGUCUUCUUUUGCUGAUUUAUUUUGAUCAGUUUAUCUUAAGCAAAUGUUCCUCACCAAAGGAGAUGGAUAGAGUAUUUUCCCCCGCAAGAGGAGGCAGCAGCCACAUCUCCUCCGGGGAGGAAUCCGUGAUUGGCCUAGUUUGGAGGGCACCAUCUGGCACACUCCCCCAGGGGCUGGCCGGCAAGUGCAGGAAUCUGCAGGGCUCUCUUCUGAUCCAGGUGAGCACUGGAGUUUCUGUUUGUUUCCAGAGUCACAGGCAGCAGAUAUCCCUGCAGUGGCUGUCUGAGCGAUAUGAUCCUUUGCCACAUGGAGGGCCAGGGGCUCUGUCUAGCAACUUAGCACGAGCUGAGAUCCAGAACACAAAAUGGGAACACUUUCUAAAAUCCCCCUUUCCCUAAUUUUAGACCUUUUAAAAAGUAUGCUGCUUUUUGUUAAGGAAACAUUUUUAGGAAACUUAUCCUUCUUGGGGGCUGACGUCUGCGCAGGUGCUCAAAACUAUCCUGUUCUCUUGACCCUGGUGGUUGGGAGUUUUCUUCAUGGUCUGCAUCAAACACCCAGUCACUCUGGAAGGAACCUGUACUUCUGUUGCAGUUUUUGUAAUAGCAACAUCAUUUCCCGAUUGCCGUCAGACAUCUGUCCAGGGAUGUUACCCAACUGGGAAAAUAUCUCAAGAAUUGUACCGUAGCAAUAAGCAAAAGCUGCUAUUUGUCAAAGACAAUAUAAACUUCAUCUCUUCCAGAACCUACAGUAGCUGCAGGACAGAUCAGAUGUGAUUCUGUAUAAUGCUUCAAGUUUCAUUCCCACUUUAAAUUAUUUAAGGCUGGCUUGGGUAAUUCCUUCUUAAAGAAUGUCAAAGUUGUGAUUUCAAAUCCAUUUGAAAUUCAUAAAAGGAACAUGGGCUGAGAGGACACAUUCAUCUGGAGCUCCAGAGAAGGUUAAGUGAAGCCCUCUUUUUUUCCUACAUAUGCCCCAAUCGGUUGUGGGUCCAAGGAACCUACAAGCCUCCUCAGGUCCUUUCCAUUGUCACAACAAUGCUCACUAUAAGCUGGCACCUGUAAUUCCAGCAACUGUAGCAGUACACACUGGAGAAACAGUGUGAAGUAACAUGCCUCCCUUUCAAACCAGCUUUGAAGUUGUUAGCCUGAGGAAUCUUGGACUCUCUCAAAUACUGAGAAGGAGGAAAGAUCCAGCCUCUUUCCAGAAACUGUUCCAUUGGAAAUUAUCAUUUUUCACAGGAGAUAUUCUUGGUUGUCCUUCUUGACAGCAGAAUGAUCUGAAUGCUUUCCCUAUGGUAAGCCUUUCUAGUGUUUUCUCAGGCAAUGGCAGUGGGCAGAGCAUGGUUUUUUCCCAUGGUCCAGCUGGCAUGGAAAUUCAGUACACCGCCACCAUGUUUCAGAGCCCAAGCACAGAGCCUGGACCUGGCUUUCUUUUUACAGCUUUAUUGAGGCAUAACUGACAUAUAAUAAACUUCACAUAUUUAAAGUAUACAGUUUAAUGCAUUUUAGCAUAUGUAUACAUCCCCGCAACCACUGCAUGAUGAGAUAAUGAACAUAUCACCCUCACAACUUUCCUCAAGCCCGUUAGCCAUCCCUCCCUUUUACCCUCCUUUAAAUAUUUAACAUAAUGUUUCAGAGUUGAAGACAAAAAGUGGGAAAGCUACUCUACCCAUUUAGUGAGUCUGGGUAUAAUCCCAGCUCUAAAACAAAGUAAGAAAAUGAUGACAAUUUUAGACCAACAUUACUUCUGGACCUAGAUGUGAAAGUCCUUGAUGAAAUACUGGUUAACAGAAUUAAUCAGUUAAGGAAAAAAUUACAAUUGCACAAUUACAGUUGCUUUUCAUCGAAUUCCCUUUUUAUUCUCCAAUGUAUUUUUUCACUAAAUCUUUGUUCAUUUUUUUCCCUACUUUUCCCUCCCAAUUUCCUCACAGUUAUAGCUUUAGCUGAUAUUCUCAUUUUAUCCUGACAUUAUAAAACAAGCUGGCUGUUUUCUCAUAAGUUCCUACAGAGGAAAUGUGUCCUAGAUGAGGAAAAGAUUCUAGAAGGUGGCAAUCACCCACAUUUCAAAAUGAAAGGAGCAAAACAAUGAGAGAAGUCAUAUUCAGUUACAAUUUUCGUAGGCCCUUCUAUUGUUCACCAAACCCCUGAGUCCCCCUCAAUACCACUGGAGUUGCCAGAUAGUCACUUGUCAGGUUUAAUUUGUGUCAAAGCUCCUGAAAACAAAGACUGCUUCUUUGACCUUGGAGGGUAGGACCCAACAAAUAGGUCUUCUUUGAUAUUAAUGAUUCAUUUGAUCUGUCUUUGCAGCUGUCUCUAACGUUUCUGGUAUUUAGGAAUGAAUGUUAACUUUCUCAACAAAUAUUUACCAGUUAAGUGCUAACUUUGCACUUGAACUGCAUGCUGAGAUGAAAAUGGAGAAAAUGCUCUAUUAAAAUUGCUAGGACCAAAAAGCAUAGUUGCACCUUAAAACAGUAUAAAUUGAAGAGCUAAAUUAUGGUAUAGUGGGAUAGAAAGGAAUGGGAAGGCUCUAAAAAGGUAGCUGAACUUAGGCUUUGCAGGGUAUAUGGUGGGAGCCCCUGAAACAGCCCAGCUGCCAAAGUGCUUUCACUGUAAUAACGGGACUGUUGGGUAUGGGGUUGGUGGUAUGGGGACGUGAAAGAUCUAAGUUCCCUAGUUGAAACAGGUACCCUGGUGUAAUGGGAGAGAAAAGAGUACAAGGUGGAUGAGGCCUGAUCAUGGAGGACCCAACAAAAUUACCUUGUGCCCAUUUCCAGUCAGCCCCUUCUGUAAGAGGCAACCACUUUUCAGGUAUCCCCCACCAUAGACUGCUUCCUCUUGCUGUUGAAUUUCAUAUAAAUGGAAUUAUGUAGUACAGACCAUUUCAUGUUUGGUUUCUUUCACCCAACAUUGGUUUUGAAAUUCAUAUUUUUGCAUGUAUUUAAAAUUCCUUUUGGGGGCACCCGCAUGUCUCAAUCCACUAAGCAGAUGACUCUUGAUCUCUGCUCUGGUCUUGAUCUCAGGGUCUUAAGUUCAAGCCUGGCGUUGGGCUCCACAUGGGGUGUGGAGCCUACUUUAAAAUAAUUCCUUUUUAUUGUUGAAUCCCACUCUGUUGAAUGAAUUAACCACAUUUCUCUCUUCUCCAGGUUUUGUCUACCAUGAAUAAAAGUGCUAUGAACAAUUUUGUAGACAUAUUUGCAUGGAUAUAUGCUUUAAUUUCUCUUGGGUAAAUAGGAGUUGAACUUAGUAUAACUUAGGUUAUAGGGUAGACGUCUGAUUAACUUCAUUCCAUUCUGCUAGUUUUCCCAAAUGGUUCUCCCAUUUUGCAUCCCCACCAGCAAUGGAUGAGAAUGUGUUACUCAAUAUCCUUGCUAACAUUUGGUAUUGUUUCUCUUUUUAAUUUGAUCUAUUUUGGGUAUUCUUGUGAUUAUGAAGUACUAUCACAUUGUGGUUUAAUCAGUAUUUUCCUGAUAUCUGAUGAUGAGUACCUUUUCAUGUAUAGUGACCAUUUCUGUACUUUGAUGGGUAUUGGUUCAAAUCUCUUGCCCAUUAAAAAAAAUAAAUAAAAGGUGUCUUUUGUAUUAUUGAGUUGUUAGAGUU